Molecule: ribosomal RNA, 603 nt
Filed under: Triticum aestivum (bread wheat)
Lineage: Eukaryota; Viridiplantae; Streptophyta; Magnoliopsida; Poales; Poaceae
Description: partial small subunit ribosomal RNA
Source: RNAcentral
AUGGGCAGCAGGGAGCAGCAGCGCGGCCGCAGGGACCGCUUCAUCGUCAUCCCCUUCUCCGCCUGCCGCUCCGCCGCCAGCGUCGACGUCGUCCAGUCCAAGAAGCCCCAAGGUGCUGGCGGUGGCGGCGAGGGGACGUCGUCGUCGGCCGCGCCGGGGAUUAAGCCGGCCAAGGGGGAGUCGCUGUCGCUGGUGGCGCGGCUGCUGCGGGGGUUCAAGAACCUGUCCCACCAGAUCUUCGCGGUGUACGACGAGGAGGACGAGGACGAGGAGGAGCCGGAGAUGGUGAUCGGGCUCCCCACGGACGUCAAGCACGUCGCGCACAUCGGCUGGGACGGCAGCACCAGCACCACCUCCAGCGUCCGCUCCUGGAACCGCGCCGCCCCUCCUCCUGGCACCGCCGCUCCGGCCGCCGCGUCGGCGUCCACCUCAGCCUCAGCCUCCACCUCCUCCGCCGCUCCUCCACCGCCACAGGCGCAGCCUCCGGCGCUGUCCGCGCGGCAGUUCGAGCUCGCCAUGGCCGCGCAGGCGUCCGCCGCGGCCACAGCCGCAUCCGCGGCCGGCACCAGCGGCGCCCCCCGGCGCCACCACCACUACAGCUAG